AUACUUAACUGGCAGGAAGAUACUGUGAUCAAGAAGGUGAUUUUUCUCGGGGGGGGGACUCAUCCACUGCACUUCGGAUAUACUGACCCCACAAUUUCCCCAAAUGUGAGAAACUUGACUACACAAUUUGUGGUAGUUGGGGGCUCCAUUCAUGCUCUCACUUU
Molecule: small nuclear RNA, 164 nt
Organism: Nannospalax galili (Upper Galilee mountains blind mole rat)
Lineage: Eukaryota; Metazoa; Chordata; Mammalia; Rodentia; Spalacidae
Gene: U1
Rfam family: U1 spliceosomal RNA
About the family: U1 is a small nuclear RNA (snRNA) component of the spliceosome (involved in pre-mRNA splicing). Its 5' end forms complementary base pairs with the 5' splice junction, thus defining the 5' donor site of an intron.
Source: Ensembl